Molecule: ribosomal RNA, 465 nt
Filed under: uncultured Klebsiella sp.
Lineage: Bacteria; Pseudomonadati; Pseudomonadota; Gammaproteobacteria; Enterobacterales; Enterobacteriaceae
Description: bacterial SSU rRNA
Rfam family: Bacterial small subunit ribosomal RNA
Source: RNAcentral
CCUACGGGUGGCAGCAGUGGGGAAUAUUGCACAAUGGGCGCAAGCCUGAUGCAGCCAUGCCGCGUGUGUGAAGAAGGCCUUCGGGUUGUAAAGCACUUUCAGCGGGGAGGAAGGCGGUGAGGUUAAUAACCUCAUCGAUUGACAUUACCCGCAGAAGAAGCACUGGCUAACUCCGUGCCAGCAGCCGCGGUAAUACGGAGGGUGCAAGCGUUAAUCGGAAUUACUGGGCGUAAAGCGCACGCAGGCGGUCUGUCAAGUCGGAUGUGAAAUCCCCGGGCUCAACCUGGGAACUGCAUUCGGAACUGGCAGGCUAGAGUCUUGUAGAGGGGGGUAGAAUUCCAGGUGUAGCGGUGAAAUGCGUAGAGAUCUGGAGGAAUACCGGUGGCGAAGGCGGCCCCCUGGACAAAGACUGACGCUCAGGUGCGAAAGCGUGGGGAGCAAACAGGAUUAGAUACCCGGGUAGUC